UACGGGGGGCGCAAGCGUUGUUCGGAUUUACUGGGCGGAAAGGGCGCGUAGGCGGCCACCGCAAGUCGACUGUGAAAUCUCCGGGCUUAACUCGGAAAGGUCAGCCGAUACUGCGGGGCUAGAGUGCAGAAGGGGCAACUGGAAUUCUCGGUGUAGCGGUGAAAUGCGUAGAUAUCGAGAGGAACACCUGCGGCGAAGGCGGGUUGCUGGGCUGACACUGACGCUGAAGCGCGAAAGCUAGGGGAGCGAACGGG
RNAcentral lists this ribosomal RNA (254 nucleotides) under uncultured bacterium. RNAcentral describes it as "partial 16S ribosomal RNA". It matches the Rfam family "Bacterial small subunit ribosomal RNA", at positions 524 to 776 of the family's 1533-position model. The record is from RNAcentral.